Molecule: non-coding RNA, 78 nt
Filed under: Escherichia coli
Lineage: Bacteria; Pseudomonadati; Pseudomonadota; Gammaproteobacteria; Enterobacterales; Enterobacteriaceae
Description: Nucleoid-associated noncoding RNA 4 (CssrE)
Rfam family: Nucleoid-associated noncoding RNA 4 (CssrE)
About the family: In E. coli small RNA transcribed from repeated extragenic palindromic element (REP325) called nucleoid-associated ncRNA 4 (nRNA4) collaborates HU protein in condensing the DNA. The secondary structure but not the sequence of the RNA is important in nucleoid condensation.
Source: RNAcentral
GGCCGGAUAAGGCGUUUACGCCGCAUCCGGCGUUCGGUGCACGGUGCCUGAUGCGACGCUGUCGCGUCUUAUCAGGCC